Molecule: ribosomal RNA, 218 nt
Filed under: Glomeromycotina sp.
Lineage: Eukaryota; Fungi; Glomeromycota
Description: partial small subunit ribosomal RNA
Rfam family: Eukaryotic small subunit ribosomal RNA (bases 48-218)
Source: RNAcentral
GGGUCUGUCCAUUGGUCGGGCUUUACGGUCGGUACUGGUCAGAUGGGUUCCUACCUUCUGAAUAACCGGCAUGCCAUUUAGUUGGUGCUCCGGGGAAGCAGAGCUAUUACCUUGAAAAAAUUAGAGUGCUUAAAGCAGGCUAUUGCUUGAAUAGAUUAGCAUGGAAUAAUAAAAUAGGACGGCAUGGUUCUAUUUUGUUGGUUUCUAGGAUCACCGUA